RNAcentral lists this ribosomal RNA (737 nucleotides) under Lactococcus lactis. Its description in RNAcentral is "bacterial SSU rRNA". It matches the Rfam family "Bacterial small subunit ribosomal RNA", at positions 131 to 856 of the family's 1533-position model. Lineage: Bacteria; Bacillati; Bacillota; Bacilli; Lactobacillales; Streptococcaceae. The record is from RNAcentral.
UUUGAGCGGAGGACAACAUUUGGAAACGAAUGCUAAUACCGCAUAAAAACUUUAAACACAAGUUUUAAGUUUGAAAGAUGCAAUUGCAUCACUCAAAGAUGAUCCCGCGUUGUAUUAGCUAGUUGGUGAGGUAAAGGCUCACCAAGGCGAUGAUACAUAGCCGACCUGAGAGGGUGAUCGGCCACAUUGGGACUGAGACACGGCCCAAACUCCUACGGGAGGCAGCAGUAGGGAAUCUUCGGCAAUGGACGAAAGUCUGACCGAGCAACGCCGCGUGAGUGAAGAAGGUUUUCGGAUCGUAAAACUCUGUUGGUAGAGAAGAACGUUGGUGAGAGUGGAAAGCUCAUCAAGUGACGGUAACUACCCAGAAAGGGACGGCUAACUACGUGCCAGCAGCCGCGGUAAUACGUAGGUCCCGAGCGUUGUCCGGAUUUAUUGGGCGUAAAGCGAGCGCAGGUGGUUUAUUAAGUCUGGUGUAAAAGGCAGUGGCUCAACCAUUGUAUGCAUUGGAAACUGGUAGACUUGAGUGCAGGAGAGGAGAGUGGAAUUCCAUGUGUAGCGGUGAAAUGCGUAGAUAUAUGGAGGAACACCGGUGGCGAAAGCGGCUCUCUGGCCUGUAACUGACACUGAGGCUCGAAAGCGUGGGGAGCAAACAGGAUUAGAUACCCUGGUAGUCCACGCCGUAAACGAUGAGUGCUAGAUGUAGGGAGCUAUAAGUUCUCUGUAUCGCAGCUAAC